Molecule: long non-coding RNA, 4331 nt
Organism: Lolium rigidum
Lineage: Eukaryota; Viridiplantae; Streptophyta; Magnoliopsida; Poales; Poaceae
Exons: 3
Source: RefSeq, a predicted model, not a curated record
AUCUUCUUCCUGAUGCAAUUGCUGCAAUGAUUUUGAGGACGCCACAAGACCGCCUGAGAGACCUGCUUCGUCCUCAGCGACGGCGAGCCUUAUAGUGAUGACCAUCACGCAGAACUGUAAUGUAUUGUAUCGUGGAGCAUUGAUAUGACCAUCUCGACCUCGCAGCCACUUACGCGCUCCAGAUCUGUGUUCCCCUUUGCUACCGCAUUUGCUGUUCAUCUCAGAGGCUAAGGAAUUUGCUCCAAGGAUUGCAGAUUUUGGGGGAGGCGCAGAGCAGCCGCCUGCCGAGAAGCUUAGACAGGCUGCAGCUCUGGAUCACCACUUGAGAACGUGAGAUACGCAAAUAGCAAAUCUUCUACUAAAACUUCCGUACCAGGUAGACUAUAAAGUUUGGAGGACCUAAAAUAUAUGCCGGCUAAAUAUUACACACCUGUUCAUAAAGAUUUGUUGUAUCCGCCUUCCAUUUUUAUGGUAUGUUGUUUAGAUGGACAUUUUUGAUUUGUCGUGCUUACGUUUUAACAGGUAUGUUGCUUACAUGUAUGCUCUGCACUCCAAUUAAAUAACUCCCGGUGACUAAACAUGGUCUAAUGUUCAGCGUAUACCAUAGUGUGUACAUUUUAUGCGCAUUUUGACCGUAUCUCAGGAUGGUUUCAUAGGCUGUCCAUAUACAGGGCUCCCUAUAUAUGUAUACACUGCUUAGUAGUCCUUCUCUCAGGACUAAUUUCUGUUUUCCAGCCACAACUAGCAUGUUGUGCUAAGUAAGUUAGCCCUUUUGCUAAAGACAUUUGUACCUUAUUAUCUAAAUUAAGCUUAUCAGCAAAAAAUCUGUAUACUACUUUUGCUUGGACGAGGAAUUGGUUAAACAGAUAUAGGUACAUGCUUUGCUCCUCUUCAAACAGCUAUUUGACUGUGCACUGCAUACUGUAAGAAAUCAUCAAAACGAUAGAAGCAGAUGCUAAGAAAGGUGUUAUAAUAUGUAAGAAUGCAACCUGAAAGCCCUACAAGAACUGGUAAUAAAACCUAUACUAAAGGGGAUUAGUUUGACAUAAAUUACCAAUGUAUAUUCUUCUGGUAUAUAGUAAGCAGCAGGAGCAAGAUAAGCUUGACUGUGGAGCCCCUAGGGAAAUGCUAAUUCACAAAUUCAUUGAAGUUGGAUGUGAAAUAACUGAUAGUAUCAAUGUUCGGUAGUAACCUCUAAGUAUGCAUAUGAGAUAAGUGUGUGUGCAUCCCUAUUACUCCUGAUUUAGAAAACAUGAUUUCUGAUGUCAUAUUUUCUUGAAUAGUAUUGUCAUUGAGACACUGAUCUCAGAUGUAUGCGUACUCUGAUUGGAAAUUUGUUUGAACAAACAGUGUAUAUUUAUUAAAAUUGCUACUGUUCUUAUCAGCAUGGAUAAUAUUACAAGAUCAUAGAGGCAGUGUGAACUAAUCCCCGGAUUCGAAAAUGAAUGAUUCACUUUCUUUAUUUUGCAUGGACUGAAUUCUAUUGUUGGGCACAAAUAGAAAAAAAUUAACAUGUUCUAAAUUAAAAUAAGAAUGUUCAUUGAUGACAAAAGGUCAGAUACUUUUGAAUUGUUGUAGGCUCUGGAGUACUGAUGUUGUACAAACGGUAUGACAAAGCUAACUAACCUGGAAAAAAUGCACACAUGCAGCUAAAUAUACGUAUAUUUUUCCUUAAUUAUAGAAACAACUGAAAGAUUCUACAUUUGCCCCGAGUGUCCAUGUGAAAUUACAGUAUAGUUUUACAAGUAACAUUCUAAAUUCUAUGUAAUUGAACUAUUUCACCAUUUAGUUCUCAAAUGUUUGACAGAUUGUUCCCAGUGUUCAAAAAGAUUCUCUUAUGAUCUUCAUGUUUCAAAUUCUGUAUAGAAGCGCUUUUUAUGUCUGGUGUACUUAUUCUCUUAAAAAGAUGAUAGGAAUGUUUUCUCACUACAUAUUCUGUCCAAGCUGGCAGUUCAAUGCUGCUUAUAUAAAUGUAAAAUUGUAGUUUGAUUGUAGCUUUUUUUAGUUUAUUUAUGUUUGUCUCUACUUGAUCUGGAGGAAGAUAGUUAUACUACUGUAUAUUCAAAGAAAUGCAUUCAUUUGUUUUUAUAGUUUAUUAAUUGGCACUAUGUUAGAAUCCACUGGAAAAAAGUUGUGCUUAACGAUUUGUGAUGGGCUUUAUAUGAUCGACAAGAUAUAUAACUUUUUCCUUGCCAUUUUGAGUAGUAGACUGAUAAAGAUGUAGGCCAGAUGGAAAGGCUGAUUCCUAUGUGAUUUAGUUAGUUUGCUUGAUUGGCAUUUAUGUGAUUUUACACUUUUCAACUUAUGCUAUGCAGGUCUGUAGUUGAUGUUCUGGCUAGAAUAUAAUAUGAAAUUAUAUUGAACUUUUCUCAUUAUGAAUUACUCUCUAAGAUAGCAAGCUUAUACCUCCAUACUUUUGUAGGUGGAAAUUUUCUACGUAGAAACACCUUAGUACUGGAAGGUACAAGUAGUGUUACCUUUCUCUACCACCUUUCACCCUGCCUCCAUUAUUUAUGAAUAAAAGAAUAUUGGUUCAUCAAACAGUAAGUGGUAAAAUUUUCCCCUCAUUUUCUGGUCAAGUGAAGUUCUAAGGUCACUAAGUUGCUAUUUCUUGAGUUGUAUUCAAAACCUGAAUCCAUCUAAUUUUUUUGGGAGUAUGGUCAAUUGAUUUUCAUGAGUAUAAAUGUAGUCAAGCAUGUUAUAAUCGCCGUUUCUUUAUUUUCCGAUUAUGAUAUCGCUGUUUCCUGUGAUGGAUUCAGGGUGUACAACAUGCAGUCUAAUGACCCAACUAGACACGUAUCAAAUCAUUUUUGGGGCCAGUUAGCUCUUCUACUGUAUGUGAGUUGGGAUGCCAAUUUCUGUGCAAGCUUGUUUUCCUGUUUCCUUGGUAUCAGGUAGCUUAGAUCUCUCAAGGGUCAUUAGUAUUCAUUGGCACAUUUUAAGAAACCAACGGAAAUCUCCAUAUUUUCUAUUUCUUGGUUAUUCAUGUUUUGCUGUAGCCAGACUUGGAUUGUAGAGUUGAAAUGUCUAUAUAGUAUUGGGAAGCUAUUACUGGCAAAGAAGAAUUAGUUCCUUGAGGUCACUACCGUUACGCUAAAUACAUGUUAUUCUUUCUUCUAGGUUCAUCCCUGUGAGCCAACAAAUUAGGAGAUCAAUACAGCAGGGUAACAAACUCUUUAUCGAAAAAGUAACAAACUGAAACUACACCUGCUACCAACACACCAACAGGUUCCUUCACUCCACAGGAGCACCUCUUCUUUUUAUCUGCUUUUCUUUGGCAUGGAAACCUUUCCUAAUAUUUGAUAGGGACAUCUUUUUAAAUACUAUUUGGCAUGGAGAGCAUGCUAGACCUCAACCUUUGAGUUUAUAAUACUUUGCCAAAGCAGAGCCACGGUGAUUUUCUCUUAUAAAUUUAUCUUUGUGAGUUUUUUGCUGGUUAUACUUUUGAGUUUAUGAAUUAAUGUUUCUGUAUGGUAUUGCAAGAUUUGUGGUGUUUGGUUUUCCUAGUGGGCUUUUCAUUUCGACAAAUCGUUGGCUCAAAUGAUCAGCUACUAUUCUUAGAUUAUAUCAACCAAUGCAGACUAUCCAUUAUUUAUCUCUAUUCUUACUAAUUACAGUACAAGAAACUAGAGUUCAUAAUAUACAUGUACUUCAUGGUGAGCCAAUUGGUAAAAUAAUAGUAGUACAGAAUUAUCUGUAUUUACUUUGCCCUGCUAUCCCCCAACAUAGUUUGUUGUUUCUGGCAAAAUACAUAGGUUCAUAACUCGGCAUGUUAAAACAUGUAUGGACAUUGGACAAGCUUAGAUUAGGUAAUUUUUCAUUUUCGCUGGUGUGGCAAUUUGUGUAUUUUAUCUUACUCUCUCAGUUAGUUACUUCAGUAUAUCAGUUUUUUUUUUUCAGAUGUCUUUUAAUAGAUCUUUAAAGGAUGCAGUUACCUUGCGAUGGUCAGUUUCCUACCUGGGAGAAAGGAUGUUUUGAGGUUUAUGAACUCUUAUUGUCCCAGCUGGAGGUCAAACUAUCUGUAUCCGUAGAUGACUUGGCAGUUUGGCCAGUUUGUACUUGGCGUUCUUUUAUUAUGGUUUAGCAUGACAUGAGAGGAACUCGGCUAUUACUUUGAAUGCUACACGUUUCUUAAUGAAUAGGUGUAUCAUUUUUUUUAUAAUAAUUACUCACAAACUGGAUAAAUAAUUUUCAAGUUUGUAUAAUUGCAUGAAGAAGUUUUGCAGGGCUGCAGCCCUCUUUCUGUGUUAAAUGGUUUCUCCAUGUCAUUAGUUUUCUAAUACUCACCUCACAUGUACAACUUAUCACAGUAUAUCCUCCUUUCAACUCCG